CACCUCUUUUUAAUGGUUGUCGACCAUGGCCUUUUAAAAUCUCACAUCGCCUAAUAUUUGAGUGAGAUGGUCGUCACUUGGCAUGCCUCCUCACCGCUUGAUUUUUAUUCCUUUUUCAUUCCAAUUUUUUUUCCUAUUCUUCUUUUUCUUUUUCUUUUCUCUUUAUCCAUUUACAUAAUCCCUAAUCCAAAAGUAAAUUCAAUUUCUUCUCCUUUUAUCUCUCUCCUCUCAAAUCUCAAGAAGCCUAUUGCAAAAAUGAAUCAGCACUAUUGCAAAAAUAAUGGAUUGCUAACUAGUAAAACUAGAAAACGAAAUGAAUCAGGUUGCUAAAAUUUGCAGAAAAUCAAGCUUUGAAGUUCCAACAAUGGCUACGAGAAAAAGAACACUGCAAAACAAUUUUUAAGGUUUAGGAGAUCAAGUUCUUCAAAUAAAUUAUUGCAAUGAAACAAGUGACACUUGGUGGAUUGAUUUGGAUGCAACUACUUACGUAAGUGCCGCUAUACAGAAUUGCCUAAGGAGUCAAGUGUCAAUUGAUGCUCAAAGAUACAUCUAUGUGGGCAAUGGAGAUAAGACAGUUGUAGAGGCUAUUGUUGUCUUUAAAAUUUUUAUUAGAUGCUGAUUUUUAUUUGGAAUUAGAGGAAACAUUUGUUGUACUGUCAUUUAGAUGGAAUUUAAUUUCUAUUUCUUGUUUGGACAAGUUUGGAUAUACUUGUUCUAUUGAAAAUGGAGU
Solanum dulcamara is the source of this 730-nucleotide long non-coding RNA. RefSeq lists it as uncharacterized. Lineage: Eukaryota; Viridiplantae; Streptophyta; Magnoliopsida; Solanales; Solanaceae. The record is from RefSeq and is a predicted model, not a curated record. The transcript has 3 exons.